Molecule: ribosomal RNA, 737 nt
Filed under: uncultured soil bacterium
Lineage: Bacteria
Description: bacterial SSU rRNA
Rfam family: Bacterial small subunit ribosomal RNA
Source: RNAcentral
UGGCGGCAUGCCUUACACAUGCAAGUCGAACGGCAGCGCGGGGCAACCUGGCGGCGAGUGGCGAACGGGUGAGUAAUAUAUCGGAACGUACCCUGGAGUGGGGGAUAACGUAGCGAAAGUUACGCUAAUACCGCAUACGAUCUAAGGAUGAAAGUGGGGGAUGCGCAAGCACCUCAUGCUCCUGGAGCGGCCGAUAUCUGAUUAGCUAGUUGGUGGGGUAAAGGCCUACCAAGGCAUCGAUCAGUAGCUGGUCUGAGAGGACGACCAGCCACACUGGAACUGAGACACGGUCCAGACUCCUACGGGAGGCAGCAGUGGGGAAUUUUGGACAAUGGGCGAAAGCCUGAUCCAGCAAUGCCGCGUGAGUGAAGAAGGCCUUCGGGUUGUAAAGCUCUUUUGUCAGGGAAGAAACGGUGGAGGCUAAUAUCCUCUGCUAAUGACGGUACCUGAAGAAUAAGCACCGGCUAACUACGUGCCAGCAGCCGCGGUAAUACGUAGGGUGCAAGCGUUAAUCGGAAUUACUGGGCGUAAAGCGUGCGCAGGCGGUUUUGUAAGUCUGUCGUGAAAUCCCCGGGCUCAACCUGGGAAUUGCGAUGGAGACUGCAAGGCUAGAAUCUGGCAGAGGGGGGUAGAAUUCCACGUGUAGCAGUGAAAUGCGUAGAGAUGUGGAGGAACACCGAUGGCGAAGGCAGCCCCCUGGGUCAAGAUUGACGCUCAUGCACGAAAGCGUGGGGAGC